GACGAACGCUGGCGGCGUGCUUAACACAUGCAAGUCGAACGGAAAGGCCCUGCUUUUGUGGGGUGCUCGAGUGGCGAACGGGUGAGUAACACGUGAGUAACCUGCCCUUGACUUUGGGAUAACUUCAGGAAACUGGGGCUAAUAUCGGAUAGGAGCUCCUGCUGCAUGGUGGGGGUUGGAAAGUUUCGGCGGUUGGGGCUGGACUCGCGGCUUAUCCGCUUGUUGGGGGGGUAGUGGCUUACCAAGGCUUUGAAGGGUAGCCGGCCUGAGAGGGUGACCGGCCACAUUGGGACUGAGGGACGGCCCAGACUCCUACGGGAGGCAGAAGUGGGGAAUAUUGCACAAUGGGCGGAAGCCUGAUGCAGCAACGCCGCGUGCGGGAUGAUGGCCUUCGGGUUGUAAACCGCUUUCGCCUGUGACGAAGCGUGAGUGACGGUAAUGGGUAAAGAAGCACCGGCUAACUACGUG
This 468-nucleotide ribosomal RNA is filed under the name uncultured bacterium. Its description in RNAcentral is "partial 16S ribosomal RNA". It matches the Rfam family "Bacterial small subunit ribosomal RNA", at positions 28 to 507 of the family's 1533-position model. The record is from RNAcentral.